UGUGUAGGCGGUUCUCUAAGUUCGGUGUGAAAUCUCCUGGCUUAACCGGGAGGGUGCGCCGAAAACUGGAGGGCUUGAGUAUGGGAGAGGAAAGCGGAAUUCCUGGUGUAGCGGUGAAAUGCGUAGAUAUCAGGAGGAACACCUGCGGUGUAGACAGCUUUCUGGACCAUCACUGACGCUGAGACACGAAAGCGUGGGUAGCAAACAGGAUUAGAUACCCUGGUAGUCCACGCCCCCUAAACGAUGCAUACUUGGUGUGAGCCGUUCAUUCGGUUCGUGCCGGAGCUAACGCGUUAAGUAUGCCGCCUGGGGAGUACGGUCGCAAGGCUGAA
RNAcentral lists this ribosomal RNA (332 nucleotides) under uncultured bacterium. RNAcentral describes it as "bacterial SSU rRNA". It matches the Rfam family "Bacterial small subunit ribosomal RNA", at positions 568 to 898 of the family's 1533-position model. The record is from RNAcentral.